RNAcentral lists this transfer RNA (77 nucleotides) under Salinibacter ruber. RNAcentral describes it as "tRNA-Lys". It matches the Rfam family "tRNA". Rfam says of the family: Transfer RNA (tRNA) molecules are approximately 80 nucleotides in length. Their secondary structure includes four short double-helical elements and three loops (D, anti-codon, and T loops). Further hydrogen bonds mediate the characteristic L-shaped molecular structure. tRNAs have two regions of fundamental functional importance: the anti-codon, which is responsible for specific mRNA codon recognition, and the 3' end, to which the tRNAs corresponding amino acid is attached (by aminoacyl-tRNA synthetases). tRNAs cope with the degeneracy of the genetic code in two manners: having more than one tRNA (with a specific anti-codon) for a particular amino acid; and 'wobble' base-pairing, i.e. permitting non-standard base-pairing at the 3rd anti-codon position. RNAcentral also lists the same sequence under 2 other names. Lineage: Bacteria; Pseudomonadati; Rhodothermota; Rhodothermia; Rhodothermales; Salinibacteraceae. The record is from RNAcentral.
AGGCUCGUAGCUCAACCUGGUAGAGCAACGGACUCUUAAUCCGUGAGCUGGGGGUUCGAAUCCCCCCGGGCCUACCA